Molecule: long non-coding RNA, 1877 nt
Filed under: Triticum aestivum (bread wheat)
Lineage: Eukaryota; Viridiplantae; Streptophyta; Magnoliopsida; Poales; Poaceae
Description: long non-coding RNA (TAES_LNC008162)
Source: RNAcentral
AAUCUUCCUGGCUGAGAGAAGAUAUGAAUGUGCAUAUAUUUCUUUCCAAUACGUACGUACAGCAGCAACUUGCAGCACCUACCAUGCUAGUAUAUCAGAGAACGCUCUCAGACCAACCGCCAGCACCUCGCCUUAUCCAUUCAUGGAUGCUUCGCUUCCAUUCAUUUUUCUCGCCCUGCACUGCUUCCUCCUCGAUCUAUUCUAUCUUUCCACACAUCGAUGACCACCGCGCGCAGCUAGAUCAGGCGGCUCGAAGGGGACUAGAGAUCCAUCGCGCGCUCUCCGGUGAUGCUGCGCCCUCGGCAGCAGUGGAGACUUUUUGCUGCGGGCUGCAAGUCACCGUUGGCUGCCGUUCCAUGUCCGUGCAGCUCCGGUGAUCCCGGCUUCAAUUAAAAUCUUCCCAUGCCACCGGUGGAAGAUUUUUUCUAUUUUUGUUUUGCCCACACGGUUGUAGCUUUUUGAAUCGCUGGUAGCAGCUUUCUUCUUAACCGGUUGAAUCUUUUUUUAAUCACUUUUAGAUCCAGCUUUGGUCCAAAUAGAUGUGAUUUCUGCAAAAAAAUAUUCCAAAUCACCGGUUCCAGCUUACCAAACCACCGGUUGUAGCUUUUUAUUCAGCCGGUUGUAGCUUUUUUGGAUUUUUAGUGUCAAUUCAAAACCAAUGGUUGUAGCUUUUUUUCAUCUGAUUGAAUCUUUUUCAAUCACCGGUUCCAGCUUUUCGAAUCAUCGGUUCCAGCUUUUGCUCAGCUUAAUUCAUCUUCUUUGCUGGAACCAGGUCAUUUUUUGCUGGAGCCGGAUCUUUUUUUUGCUGGAGCCGGCAAAUGAUUUUGCUGUGACGAGUUUCUUGUUGCUUGAAAUUAUUUGCUACGAUCAGGAGGCGGCGACGCAUUUUUGCUGGAACCAUAUUAAUAUUUGCUGGAAUCGUGAUUUAAUUUGCUUCAAGCAAAUUACUGGGUUUGCUAGGUGCUCAAGUUGAUUUGCUGGAAACCUUUGUUUUUCUGUUGGAACCAAUUUUUGGUUCUGCUGCAACUACCCAACGGAGUUCUUUUUUGGGCUGAGAUGUGUUUUUUGGUGGAAUCAGGUGGUGCAGGUCGACUACGGCGUCGACGUUGUGCUGUGAUGGGCGGAGCCAGCGAGAGUUGCUGCGUCCGACGUUUGGCAAAGAUGCAUCCGUCGGGGGGUGGUGCUGAAACGAUGGGGGAUGAGGAGGGUGUGCAGCGACGACGAAUUGGAGCUGCGGAGAGAGGCGGCGAGCGGUGGAGAUCCGACUAGCGGCGGAGAUCCGGCGGGUCAAGUAGCUCUUCCAUGGCGCUCGCGUGAUUUGCAGAGUAGAGAACGGCGUGGUAGGGACGGAAGUGUCCAGAAUCUGACGGUUAAAAGAGUUUUAAUCAGACGUACAGGAUACGACCGGCCCAAAUUUGGGCCGGCGCACCGGCGCCUAGUACUGGCCUAAAAAAUAAAUAACCUUCUGAAUUUAUUUUGGUCGCAGGACAUGGUCACAUAUUAAUUAAGCAAUCAACCGAAAUGGCUGACAUGGUGACAUGCAUCGGCUAGAAAGAGCAGCAUCUCGAGGAAACGCUGGUGGGUUCUCCGCCGGACACGAGGAUGGACUGCCCCUCUCCGACGGCGCCGGCACCGGAAUCAUCCGUGGACGACAGCGCCUUCUUGCCGACCACCCGGUAGAUCUCGGCGAGGACGGUCUGGAAGGCCUUGUCGACGUUGGUGGCGUCGAGCGCGGAGGUCUCGAUGAAGGAGAGGCCUUCCCACUCGGCGAAGCCCGCGGCCUUGUCGGUGGCGACGGAGCGGAGGUGGCGGAGGUCGGUCUUGUUGCCGAUGAGCAUGAUGACGAUGUUGGAGUCGGCGUGGUCGCGCAGCUCCUU